RNAcentral lists this long non-coding RNA (218 nucleotides) under Homo sapiens (human). RNAcentral describes it as "HSALNT0357443". The record is from RNAcentral. Lineage: Eukaryota; Metazoa; Chordata; Mammalia; Primates; Hominidae.
UUCCAUUCCAUUCCAUUCCAUUCGUGUUUAUUCCAUUCCAUUCCAUUCCAUUCCAUUCCAUUCCAUUCCACUAGGGUUGAUUCCAUUCCAUUCCAUUCCAUUCUACUCGGGUUCAUUUCAUUUCGUUCCGUUCUAUUCCAUUCCAUUCCAUUGCAUUCAUUUCCUUUCCAUUCCAUUCCACUCCACUCGGGUUGAUUCCAUUCCGUUCCAUUCCAUUC